AGGAACCACCGGUUCCUCCCUAAAUAAACAUUGUCAGACGUUUGUCGCCAAAUUAAUUAAUUAAUUAUAAUUAAGGGCAUUUUAGUAUUUUUAGUCUAUGUCAUUAACUCUAAUUGAUACUGUUUUUUUCCACAAAAUUGAGAGAUCUUCCGUACUGCCUCCCGCAUCGCCGCCGCUUUACCUCACUAGGAUCACCAUGGUCCGCUUGAACGGCCGGCCUGCUGUCAUCCGCAUGAAUGGCUUGGCGUCGCCC
RNAcentral lists this long non-coding RNA (253 nucleotides) under Sorghum bicolor (sorghum). Its description in RNAcentral is "long non-coding RNA (SBIC_LNC018276)". The record is from RNAcentral. Lineage: Eukaryota; Viridiplantae; Streptophyta; Magnoliopsida; Poales; Poaceae.